CCUACGGGUGGCAGCAGUGAGGAAUAUUGGUCAAUGGACGAAAGUCUGAACCAGCCAAGUAGCGUGAAGGAUGACUGCCCUAUGGGUUGUAAACUUCUUUUAUAUGGGAAUAAAAUGUUCCACGUGUGGGGUUUUGUAUGUACCAUAUGAAUAAGGAUCGGCUAACUCCGUGCCAGCAGCCGCGGUAAUACGGAGGAUCCGAGCGUUAUCCGGAUUUAUUGGGUUUAAAGGGUGCGUAGGUGGAUUGUUAAGUCAGUUGUGAAAGUUUGUGGCUCAACCGUAAAAUUGCAGUUGAAACUGGCAGUCUUGAGUACAGUAGCGGCAGGCGGAAUGCGUUGUGUAGCGGUGAAAUGCUUAGAUAUCACGCAGAACUCCGAUUGCGAAGGCAGCUUACUGGACCGCAACUGACACUGAGGCACGAAAGUGUGGGGAUCAAACAGGAUUAGAUACCCUAGUAGUC
RNAcentral lists this ribosomal RNA (460 nucleotides) under uncultured bacterium. Its description in RNAcentral is "partial 16S ribosomal RNA". It matches the Rfam family "Bacterial small subunit ribosomal RNA", at positions 338 to 795 of the family's 1533-position model. The record is from RNAcentral.